AAUAGAUACCCAGGUAGUCCACGCCGUAAACGAUGAGUGCUAAGUGUUAGAGGGUUUCCGCCCUUUAGUGCUGCAGCUAACGCAUUAAGCACUCCGCCUGGGGAGUACGGCCGCAAGGCUGAAACUCAAAGGAAUUGACGGGGGCCCGCACAAGCGGUGGAGCAUGUGGUUUAAUUCGAAGCAACGCGAAGAACCUUACCAGGUCUUGACAUCCUCUGACAACCCUAGAGAUAGGGCUUUCCCCUUCGGGGGACAGAGUGACAGGUGGUGCAUGGUUGUCGUCAGCUCAUGUCGUGAGAUGUUGGGUUAAGUCCCGCAACGAGCGCAACCCUUGAUCUUAGUUGCCAGCAUUCAGUUGGGCACUCUAAGGUGACUGCCGGUGACAAACCGGAGGAAGGUGGGGAUGACGUCAAAUCAUCAUGCCCCUUAUGACCUGGGCUACACACGUGCUACAAUGGAUGGUACAAAGGGCUGCAAACCUGCGAAGGUAAGCGAAUCCCAUAAAGCCAUUCUCAGUUCGGAUUGC
RNAcentral lists this ribosomal RNA (526 nucleotides) under uncultured bacterium. Its description in RNAcentral is "bacterial SSU rRNA". It matches the Rfam family "Bacterial small subunit ribosomal RNA", at positions 777 to 1301 of the family's 1533-position model. The record is from RNAcentral.